CCUCAGCCUCCCAAAGUGCUAGGAUUACAGGCGUGAGUCACUGCGCCUGGCCCAAGUCCGGAAUUUUCAACAGGACAUGGGUGUUACUGUGCCCAUGUGACAUUUGGGGAACCCAAGGCCCUGAGAAAGGCAGAAAAAUAACCCACGCAGGGACUCUCAGCCCACAAGUGAAGCUACCCUGCUUCUCUCCAGGAGAACCGGGAAUGGAAAACAGGGAGGCAGCACAGAGGCAGGAAACUCAGGUGUCAUAGCUUGGCUCAGCUUGGAAUGCACUCCCUCCACCUCCAACCAGAGCUCCCCACAACUGACCCUGCCUUCUUCUGCAAGCUCCAUUUCAUCAAGGGAAACGAUCCUUAUUGCCUCACCAUUUCCCACGUGAAGUCUGUAUUGACAUUCUCAUAGACCUGGGAUAUUGUGUCUGCAGCACAUAGUCCAAUUAUUUUCAUGUUAUCUACUGACAGGUCUAUUUGUCUCCCUGUUACACUGUGAGCUCCGUGAGGGCAGAAACAAUGUUAGUAUUUUCACUGCUGUGUCCCCAGCGCCUGGUCCGGGGCCCGGCACACAGCAGGCAUAUAAUAAGCAUGUGUUGAAUCAAUAAAGGCAUCAAAGAAUAAACCAAUACAUCAAUCAAUAAA
Molecule: long non-coding RNA, 635 nt
Filed under: Homo sapiens (human)
Lineage: Eukaryota; Metazoa; Chordata; Mammalia; Primates; Hominidae
Description: MIR7-3 host gene
Source: RNAcentral